UGUAUUUGUUAAAAGUCCUCUAUAUUUCUGAUUCUCUUGGUUGGAAUUGGACUUUAUAGUGGAUUGCGAGGCAACUCUUAUUAUAUUGCUAUCAACUUCAGUCAUCCACUGGCUGAGCAACAGAUAAAAGCUGUGGACAGAGUUUUGUCAGAACUAGAUGUGUCUUCGAUACCAAGGUUGAUGGUGUGGAACAAGGUUGAUAAGGUGAGCGAUCCUGACAGCAUCAGAACAGAAGCAGAAAAGAGAGAUGAUGUUGUUUGCAUAUCUGCUCUGAGUAGCCAGGGCUUGAAUGAUUUCUGCAGUGCAAUCCAGGAAAAAUUGAAGGACUCUAUGGUAUGGGUGGAAGCCUUGAUCCCAUUUGAAAAAGGAGAGCUUCUUAGUACCAUACAUAAGGUUGGAAUGGUG
Rosa rugosa (rugosa rose) is the source of this 405-nucleotide long non-coding RNA. RefSeq lists it as uncharacterized. NCBI's taxonomy places the organism in Eukaryota, Viridiplantae, Streptophyta, Magnoliopsida, Rosales, Rosaceae. The transcript is spliced from 3 exons. The record is from RefSeq and is a predicted model, not a curated record.